Oryza rufipogon (brownbeard rice) is the source of this 205-nucleotide microRNA precursor. It matches the Rfam family "MIR812 microRNA precursor family". The record is from Rfam. NCBI's taxonomy places the organism in Eukaryota, Viridiplantae, Streptophyta, Magnoliopsida, Poales, Poaceae.
UAAAAAAACAAACCUGAGAUUUCGUGUCCAACUUUGACUGUCCGUAUUAUAUGAAAUUUUUUUAUAAUUCGUAUUUUUAUUGUUGUUAAAUGAUAAAAUAUGAUUAAUAUUUUAUACGUGACUUAUCUUUUUAAUUUUUUUCAUAGUUUUUUCAAAUAAGACGAACGGUCAAACGUUGGACACGGAAACCAGGGUUUGUCUUUUU